ACAGUAUCCAAUGGCGCAACAGUAAUUGGACCCUCCUCAAUUAUCUUUUGGUGCCGCCUCUGAACACUGCAAUCACGGCUAUGCAAAGCUGCUACAUUUCCAUACUGAUCGCACAGUAACUGGACUUCUAAAUGCCGACUCUGGGAAGCAACCUUCAUUAUAAAUAUGGGUGAUCCUGGAACUUCACCCUGAACUUGCUUGAACAAUGCCCUUACUUCAUCAUCAUUAUGAACCUUUCUUAUGCCUUUACCGCCACCACCCCACGAUGCCUUGAUCAUUGCAGGGUAACCAACAACUUGACAGCUUGCAAUUGCUUCCUCUGUUGUAUAUACACAUGCUUCCCUGUAUAUCUCAUCUGGUAUGGUAAUCAAACAACUUUCUGAAGGAAUUCUCACAUGAGAACCACUCCAUGGAAGAG
Molecule: unclassified non-coding RNA, 418 nt
Filed under: Hevea brasiliensis (rubber tree)
Lineage: Eukaryota; Viridiplantae; Streptophyta; Magnoliopsida; Malpighiales; Euphorbiaceae
Source: RNAcentral